GAUGAAGAACGCAGUGAAAUGCGAUACGUAAUGUGAAUUGCAGAAUUCAGUGAAUCAUCGAAUCUUUGAACGCAUAUUGCGCUCUUUGGUAUUCCGAAGAGCAUGCUUGUUUGAGUAUCAGUAAACACCUCAACCUCUUCUUGAUUUUUCAAAAGGAGGGUGGACUUGAGCUAUCCCAACAACCUUUACCGGUCGGCGGGCGGCUUGAAAUGCAGGUGCAGCUGGACUUUUAUCUGAACUAAAAGCAUAUCUAUUUAGUCCUCGUCAAACAGGAUUAUUACUUUUGCUGCAGCUAACAUAAAGGAUAAUUGUCCUCUUUGCUGACUGAUGCAGGAUUUUACGACACUUUAUGUGUUGUUCAACUCGAUCUCAAAUCAAGUAAGACUACCCGCUGAACUUAAGCAUAUCAAUAAGCGGAGGA
Molecule: unclassified non-coding RNA, 421 nt
Filed under: soil metagenome
Description: partial contains 5.8S ribosomal RNA, internal transcribed spacer 2, and large subunit ribosomal RNA
Rfam family: 5.8S ribosomal RNA (bases 1-120)
Source: RNAcentral